Molecule: microRNA, 21 nt
Filed under: Chrysemys picta bellii (western painted turtle)
Lineage: Eukaryota; Metazoa; Chordata; Testudines; Emydidae
Also listed under: 1 other name
Description: Cpi-Mir-9597_3p (mature (guide))
Source: RNAcentral
UAAAUAUCUUUCAGGAUCUGG